UUUUUAUUCGUUUUUCCAAACAGUCUUGGUAACGAGAAAUGUGUAGGGCCUUUACAUUGUAACUAUUAUAAUACAACAAAGAAUUUUAUUAUUGUUUUUUAAAUAUCUCCGAGCUUUGAAUUUGUGAUUUAAAACAAAGUUCUUCAACGGCAUGACUUUAACCGAAUACUUGUAUUGAGGAAAGAUACGAUUUAAAGUUAUUAAAAUAAAUAUUGAUUUUUUUUUUAAUAAUAAAAAAAAAAUCAGUACUCGAAUGUUACAAUUAUUAUAGAACAUAAUAUUAUGUUAGAUAAAGAUAAUGUCGGAGUUAACACACAUAUUAUUAUUCCGGAGUGGUAGUCAAACUGUCUCCUUAUUAAAAUCAUUUUGGUUCAAAUUGCACUCAAAAUGUUUGAAUUUCAAUCGAUCUGAUACUUUUAUAUACUGAUACUGUCUUCCGUCUCUGUGUGUUCAUCAUAAUAUUAUGGUCAACUUAUUUACAAUUGUCUAGUUUAAAAACGAACGUGCCCAUGGUGAUUCGAUAACUGUGUACACUAAAUUGAUCUAUAUACAUUUUAUAAAGAAAACGUUUAUAAGCGAAGUGCAUACACCGAGUGUAGUUUUUGGAAGUGCCAUUAAAUUUUUUCUUGUCCAGAGUGCAACUCGACAAGGAUAAGAGCAAUUCGACCGUAAACCGUACAUUAUAAUAUAACCCUUUCCGAUAACAUACUACAACUAUUGUAAUAUUUAGUGGAUAUAUUAACAUAUUAUUACGGCCGAUCAAACUAUUAAUGGAAUACUUGUCAGCUGCAGCCUGUUAACAUUUCGAAGGAAUUCGUGUUGACAUUUUACAGUUGAUAAAUAUAGUUCAUCGUCAUGACGCCAUCACUAUGUUACAGCGAAACAUUAUAUGCUGUCCCUGCCUUUAUUAUUGUUAUCUAUGUGUUAUAUAUUUUGAGACUGUCUCUAUAAACAAGAGGGAUGUGUUGUAUAAAUACAUGAUUUUUAAAAUAUAUUUUCAAGUUUGUAAAAAGUACGAGCAUUUGUCGAACUGAAAGAAUGCCAGUAUUUGUCGAAUUAAAAUCAAACACGAACCAUAAAGAAGAAGAGUUUAAGUAAACGAAUGGAAUUAUUCAAAUAACAACAGAAAAAUAUUUUUGAAAGGUGAUAGCGAUCUACGGUUGCUAUAAAAUCGUAUCGUCCAAAGGGAGAAUAUUAAUGAGGUUUUUACUAUAGAGAAAAUAGCAUUCGUAUAGCAGGCGAUCUGCCGCUGCCGCAGGAAAGAGUGAUUUGCGAAUUUACAACUAGAUAUCUAUACGUGCAAAUGCAAAUUAUAUUAAUUUUAAACAUUAUGGUAGUAUAAAACUAAGAGAAAACUAAAUCUAACCAUGAUUCAAAUCCAUUUACAAUGUUCUUCAUUUGACACAAUAAUUAAGUGACGCAAAUACUUUUAAAAUUACAUUAUGU
This is a long non-coding RNA of Aphis gossypii (cotton aphid), 1446 nucleotides long. RefSeq lists it as uncharacterized. Lineage: Eukaryota; Metazoa; Arthropoda; Insecta; Hemiptera; Aphididae. The transcript has 3 exons. The record is from RefSeq and is a predicted model, not a curated record.